AACCAGACUCCUACGGGAGGCAGCAGUGGGGAAUAUUGCGCAAUGGGCGAAACCCUGACGCAGCAACGCCGCGUGCGGGACGAAGGCCCUCGGGUUGUAAACCGCUUUCAGCAGGGAAGAUCCAAGACGGUACCUGCAGAAGGAGCUCCGGCUAACUACGUGCCAGCAGCCGCGGUAAUACGUAGGGGGCAAGCGUUAUCCGGAUUCACUGGGUGUAAAGGGAGCGUAGACGGCGACGCAAGUCUGGAGUGAAAGCCCGGGGCCCAACCCCGGGACUGCUCUGGAAACUGCGUCGCUGGAGUACGGGAGGGGCAGGCGGAAUUCCUGGUGUAGCGGUGAAAUGCGUAGAUAUCAGGAGGAACACCGGCGGCGAAGGCGGCCUGCUGGACCGUGACUGACGUUGAGACUCGAGAGCGUGGGGAGCAAACAGGAUUAGAUACCCCAGUAC
Molecule: ribosomal RNA, 448 nt
Filed under: uncultured bacterium
Lineage: Bacteria
Description: bacterial SSU rRNA
Rfam family: Bacterial small subunit ribosomal RNA
Source: RNAcentral